GGGGGUGAGAGGAGCUGAGAGGAGCUGAGAGGAGGCUUGUGGAGGGCCAGAGGUAAUGUCGGGCUUGAGAGGAGCUGAGAGGAGCUGAGAGGAGGCUUGUGGAGGGCCAGAGGUAAUGUUGGGCUUGAGAGGAGCUGAGAGGAGCUGAGAGGAGAUGAGAGGAGAUGAGAGGAGGCUUGUGGAGGGCCAGAGGUAAUGUUGGGUAAUGUUGGUAACCACUAUGUAUUGUAUUCACUAGUUAAGCUCUGAUACAGGGUCAGCAUUGGUUCAUGCUAGUAAUGGUUAAGGUUAGGGCUGAAGUGAGAGACAUCUGAUUCUAGAUCUUUACAAUAAACCUUUGAGGUCAGAUUUCAUCCGGAAGAUGAACCCUGAGAUGUCAGCUCUCUGCUCACCCAUGGCAACCCUACCGUGCCAUGGCAACCUAAACCUAGCGGAGUGUUGUCAUCCUGCCAAAGCUUUGCCCUCGACAAGUAGGGCUUCAUUUUGCCCUAAACCUCAAUGGAGACCAACCUAGCUGCCAUAACUUCCAAACCAUUCUAGAAGUUUACUCCAAAGCUAAAUAUAGGAUACAUUAAAAAAUAUAACAAAAUUGAUCAGAGAACUUCGUGUUUGAGUCCCAAAUGGUACCCUAUUCCCUAUUGGCUCUGGUCAAAUGACACCCUAUUCCCUAUUGGCUCUGGUCAAAUGACACCCUAUUCCCUAUUGACUCUGGUCAAAUGACACCCUAUUCCCUAUUGACUCUGGUCAAAUGACACCCUGUUCCCUAUUGGCUCUGGUCAAAUGACACCCUGUUCCCUAUUGGCUCUGGUCAAAUGGCACCCUAUUCCCUAUUGGCUCUGGUCAAAUGGCACCCUAUUCCCUAUUGGCUCUGGUCAAAUGACACCCUGUUCCCUAUUGACUCUGGUCAAAUGACAC
Oncorhynchus tshawytscha (Chinook salmon) is the source of this 915-nucleotide long non-coding RNA. The record is from Ensembl. NCBI's taxonomy places the organism in Eukaryota, Metazoa, Chordata, Actinopteri, Salmoniformes, Salmonidae.